This is a non-coding RNA of Xylaria palmicola, 114 nucleotides long. The record is from the annotation of a GenBank genome assembly. Lineage: Eukaryota; Fungi; Ascomycota; Sordariomycetes; Xylariales; Xylariaceae.
GGUUUCGUGGCCCAAUGGCAAGGCGUCUGACUACGACUGAGUUUCCCUUCGCAACCAGCAAAUGGAGACUUGACGAUAAUCAGGAGAUUCUGGGUUCGACCCCCAGCGAGAUCA